UGGGGAAUAUUGCACAAUGGGCGCAAGCCUGAUGCAGCCAUGCCGCGUGUGUGAAGAAGGCCUUCGGGUUGUAAAGCACUUUCAGCGAGGAGGAAGGCAGUCGUGUUAAUAGCACGGUUGAUUGACGUUACUCGCAGAAGAAGCACCGGCUAACUCCGUGCCAGCAGCCGCGGUAAUACGGAGGGUGCAAGCGUUAAUCGGAAUUACUGGGCGUAAAGCGCACGCAGGCGGUUUGUUAAGUCAGAUGUGAAAUCCCCGCGCUUAACGUUGGAACUGCAUUUGAAACUGGCAAGCUAGAGUCUUGUAGAGGGGGGUAGAAUUCCAGGUGUAGCGGUGAAAUGCGUAGAGAUCUGGAGGAAUACCGGUGGCGAAGGCGGCCCCCUGGACAAAGACUGACGCUCAGGUGCGAAAGCGUGGGGAGCAAACA
Molecule: ribosomal RNA, 427 nt
Filed under: uncultured bacterium
Lineage: Bacteria
Description: partial 16S ribosomal RNA
Rfam family: Bacterial small subunit ribosomal RNA
Source: RNAcentral